RNAcentral lists this ribosomal RNA (429 nucleotides) under Gemmatimonadota bacterium. RNAcentral's name for it is "Gemmatimonadetes bacterium partial 16S ribosomal RNA". It matches the Rfam family "Bacterial small subunit ribosomal RNA", at positions 355 to 776 of the family's 1533-position model. Lineage: Bacteria; Pseudomonadati; Gemmatimonadota. The record is from RNAcentral.
UAGGGAAUCUUCGGCAAUGGACGAAAGUCUGACCGAGCAACGCCGCGUGAGUGAAGAAGGUUUUCGGAUCGUAAAACUCUGUUGUUAGAGAAGAACAAGGACGUUAGUAACUGAACGUCCCCUGACGGUAUCUAACCAGAAAGCCACGGCUAACUACGUUCCAGCAGCCGCGGUACUACGUAGGUGGCAAGCGAUGUCUGGUAUUAUUGGGCGUAAAGAGAUCGAAGGCGGUUUCUUAAGUCUGAUGUGAAAGCCCCCGGCUCAACCGGGGAGAGUCAUUGGAAACUGGGAGACUAGAGGGCAGAAGAGGAGGGUGGAAUUCCAUGUGUAGCGAUGAAAUGCGUAGAUAUAUGGAGGAACACCAGUGGCGAAGGCGGCACUCUGGUCUGUAACUGCCGCUGAGGCUCGAAAGCGUGGGGGGCAAACAAG